RNAcentral lists this ribosomal RNA (447 nucleotides) under uncultured bacterium. Its description in RNAcentral is "bacterial SSU rRNA". It matches the Rfam family "Bacterial small subunit ribosomal RNA", at positions 329 to 793 of the family's 1533-position model. The record is from RNAcentral.
GGCCAGACUCCUACGGGAGGCAGCAGUGGGGGAUAUUGCACAAUGGGGGGAACCCUAAUGCAGCGACGCCGCGUGGGUGAAGAAGCGCCUCGGCGCGUAAAGCCCUGUCAGCAGGGAAGAAAAUGACGGUACCUGAAGAAGAAGCCCCGGCUAACUACGUGCCAGCAGCCGCGGUAAUACGUAGGGGGCAAGCGUUAUCCGGAUUUACUGGGUGUAAAGGGGGCGCAGACGGCGAUGCAAGCCAGGAGUGAAAGCCCGGGGCCCAACCCCGGGACUGCUCUUGGAACUGCGUGGCUGGAGUGCAGGAGGGGCAGGCGGAAUUCCUGGUGUAGCGGUGAAAUGCGUAGAUAUCAGGAGGAACACCGGUGGCGAAGGCGGCCUGCUGGACUGCAACUGACGUUGAGGCCCGAAAGCGUGGGGAGCAAACAGGAUUAGAUACCCUGGUAC